UAAUAUUCCUCCAGUUUUCUUUCUUCCAUAGGUGAUUUACUCCCUUCAGCAUAUUUUGGCCCUAAAGCUUGCUGAAAAUGAAGUAUUUCACCAAGUCUUUCCCUAUCACGUUAGAUCUUGUCACCAAAGUGACUUAGGCAUAAGCAAAAAAACACAUAAAAUUCACAAGAGAAAACACCUAGUGUUUUAUGUACAAAUCUAUCUAAAAA
RNAcentral lists this long non-coding RNA (209 nucleotides) under Lathyrus oleraceus (garden pea). RNAcentral's name for it is "Pisum sativum (pea) long non-coding RNA (PSAT_LNC013294)". The record is from RNAcentral. Lineage: Eukaryota; Viridiplantae; Streptophyta; Magnoliopsida; Fabales; Fabaceae.